UGAGCAACCUGCCCUUGACCCUGGAAUAACAGCUGGAAACAGCUGCUAAUACCGGAUACGACCUCCGAUGGCAUCAUCUGGAGGUGGAAAGCUCCGACGGUCAAGGAUGGGCUCGCGGCCUAUCAGCUUGUUGGUGAGGUAAUAGCUCACCAAGGCGAUGACGGGUAGCCGGCCUGAGAGGGUGACCGGCCACACUGGGACUGAGACACGGCCCAGAUCCUACGGG
This 226-nucleotide ribosomal RNA is filed under the name uncultured bacterium. RNAcentral's name for it is "partial 16S ribosomal RNA". It matches the Rfam family "Bacterial small subunit ribosomal RNA", at positions 118 to 345 of the family's 1533-position model. The record is from RNAcentral.